Molecule: ribosomal RNA, 522 nt
Filed under: uncultured Glomus
Lineage: Eukaryota; Fungi; Glomeromycota; Glomeromycetes; Glomerales; Glomeraceae
Description: SSU rRNA
Rfam family: Eukaryotic small subunit ribosomal RNA
Source: RNAcentral
AGCAGCCGCGGUAAUUCCAGCUCCAAUAGCGUAUAUUAAAGUUGUUGCAGUUAAAAAGCUCGUAGUUGAAUUUCGGGAUCAAUUAAUUGGUCGUGCCUCUGGUACGUACUGAUUUUAUUGGUUUCUCCCUUCUGACGAACCAUGAUGUCAUUAAUUUGGUGUCGUGGAGAAUCAGGACUGUUACUUUGAAAAAAUUAGAGUGUUUAAAGCAAGCUAACGCUUGAAUACAUUAGCAUGGAAUAAUGAAAUAGGACGUUUGAUUCUAUUUUGUUGGUUUCUAGGAUCGACGUAAUGAUUAAUAGGGAUAGUUGGGGGCAUUAGUAUUCAAUUGUCAGAGGUGAAAUUCUUGGAUUUAUUGAAGACUGACUACUGCGAAAGCAUUUGCCAAGGAUGUUUUCAUUAAUCAAGAACGAAAGUUAGGGGAUCGAAGACGAUCAGAUACCGUCGUAGUCUUAACCAUAAACUAUGCCGACUAGGGAUCGGAUGAUGUUAAUUUUUUAAUGACUCAUUCGGCGCCUUACG